RNAcentral lists this ribosomal RNA (378 nucleotides) under Strombidinopsis sp. RNAcentral describes it as "partial small subunit ribosomal RNA". It matches the Rfam family "Eukaryotic small subunit ribosomal RNA", at positions 587 to 975 of the family's 1831-position model. Lineage: Eukaryota; Ciliophora; Spirotrichea; Choreotrichida; Strombidinopsidae. The record is from RNAcentral.
AGCUCCAAUAGCGUAUAUUAAAGUUGUUGCAGUUAAAAAGCUCGUAGUUUGAUUUCUGGACGGGCGCCAACACCCGCUUGUUUGGUGAGGAGGCGGCGCCCGCCCAUCCUUCUGUUAACGCCACCGGCAUUCGUUUGCUGGCGGCGGGCUCAGAUAUUUUACCUUGAGAAAAUUAGAGUGUUUCAGGCAGGCUUGCGCCUAGAUACAUUAGCAUGGAAUAAUAGAAUAGGACUUUGGCCUCUUCUGUUGGUCUGAGGGGUUAGAGUAAUGAUUAAUAGGGAUAGUUGGGGGCAUUAGUACUUAACUGCUAGAGGUGAAAUUCUCAGAUUUGUUAAAGACUAACUUAUGCGAAAGCAUUUGCCAAGGAUGUUUUCAUUA